UACAGAGGUCUCAAGCGUUGUUCGGAUUCAUUGGGCGUAAAGGGUGUGUAGGUGGCGCCGUAAGUCGGGUGUGAAAUUUCGGAGCUUAACUCCGAAACUGCAUUCGAUACUGCGGUGCUUGAGGACUGGAGAGGAGACUGGAAUUCAUGGUGUAGCAGUGAAAUGCGUAGAGAUCAUGAGGAAGACCAGUGGCGAAGGCGGGUCUCUGGACAGUUCCUGACACUGGGGCACGAAGGCCAGGGGAGCAAACGGG
Molecule: ribosomal RNA, 253 nt
Filed under: uncultured bacterium
Lineage: Bacteria
Description: partial 16S ribosomal RNA
Rfam family: Bacterial small subunit ribosomal RNA
Source: RNAcentral